GGUUUUGUUAAGGUAUCUGGGACUGGUAAGAGUGAUCGCAAGCCCGACAUGAUUUUGCUCCUGAUAGUGGCCUUUUAUUGUUUUGUUGCACUCAUCAUCAUCCUGUCUGCGAAAUACAUUAGAGCAUGUCCCACAGGAACUGUGAAGAAAAGAAGUAAGACAAGAAAAUCAAACACUCAAGGUUGCAGAUACUUUACCUCAAGCAGGAGAAGAUCAGACAAAUCAGACAACUGACAGCUGAGAAAAAUCAAACAAGCGACAACCCAAAGUUCAAAAAUUCAACAGCGAGAAGACUUCAUUUUGACCAAUAAUGUUUUUAUGUUUAUCUUAUUUGUUUUUGUUCAGUUUUGUUGUCCUUGUUUUUAGCUGUAUGUCUGUUUCUGUCUCUAUUAUUUCAGCAUAAGAACAACUACUUCUUCUACCAUUGCUUGUUAAUAUGAUUGUUUGUAUAUUUUUAUACAGUGAUGUUUAUUAUUUUUUUAUUUAAGGAAUGAUAAAUUAAGGAUUUUCUGCAAAAAGGUCAAUAAAAACCUUUGACAGUGA
Morone saxatilis (striped sea-bass) is the source of this 543-nucleotide long non-coding RNA. RefSeq lists it as uncharacterized. Lineage: Eukaryota; Metazoa; Chordata; Actinopteri; Moronidae. The record is from RefSeq and is a predicted model, not a curated record. The transcript has 4 exons.